AAGUCGUAACAAGGUUUCCGUAGGUGAACCUGCGGAAGGAUCAUUAUCAUAACGUAUCCACGUAUAAACCAACUUUAAAUUGAUGUGAAACGUAACUGUUUUAACACCUCGAGAUAAUCAGAUGAUUGCUAUACUUUACAUUGUUUGCGUGAUUAAAGCAAAAACGGUUUAGUAUGGACCUGUGCCUGUAACAAGGUGCUAGCGCUGAUUAUUUGGAGUGUAAAAAAUUUAAUCAACUAUUAACCCAUUGAACCGAAUUACUAUAUUCUUAACUGAGUUUAGUUAUUCAUUUUAAUUUCUAUUGUGUGAACUGAAUUGUCUACUUACUUGACACCGCCAUUGGUGGAGAGAAGUCGAUUAUAUUUACGAAACAUUAUAAAUUUCUAUGAACAACUCUUAGCAACGGAUAUCUUGGUUCUC
RNAcentral lists this unclassified non-coding RNA (420 nucleotides) under fungal sp. RNAcentral describes it as "partial internal transcribed spacer region". The stretch from base 1 to 46 matches the Rfam family "Eukaryotic small subunit ribosomal RNA", at positions 1786 to 1831 of the family's 1831-position model. The record is from RNAcentral. Lineage: Eukaryota; Fungi.